Molecule: ribosomal RNA, 28 nt
Filed under: Cryphonectria parasitica (chestnut blight fungus)
Lineage: Eukaryota; Fungi; Ascomycota; Sordariomycetes; Diaporthales; Cryphonectriaceae
Description: partial 18S ribosomal RNA
Source: RNAcentral
GUGGCCCUCACGGGCGCAACCCCAGAUA